This 497-nucleotide ribosomal RNA is filed under the name uncultured bacterium. RNAcentral describes it as "partial 16S ribosomal RNA". It matches the Rfam family "Bacterial small subunit ribosomal RNA", at positions 28 to 507 of the family's 1533-position model. The record is from RNAcentral.
GAUGAACGCUGGCGGCGUGCCUAAUACAUGCUAGUCGAGCGAACGGACGAGAAGCUUGCUUUUCUGAUGUUAGCGGCGGACGGGUGAGUAACACGUGGAUAACCUACCUAUAAGACUGGGAUAACUUCGGGAAACCGGAGCUAAUACCGGAUAAUAUUUUGAACCGCAUGGUUCAAAAGUGAAAGACGGUCUUGCUGUCACUUAUAGAUGGAUCCGCGCUGCAUUAGCUAGUUGGUAAGGUAACGGCUUACCAAGGCAACGAUGCAUAGCCGACCUGAGAGGGUGAUCGGCCACACUGGAACUGAGACACGGUCCAGACUCCUACGGGAGGCAGCAGUAGGGAAUCUUCCGCAAUGGGCGAAAGCCUGACGGAGCAACGCCGCGUGAGUGAUGAAGGUCUUCGGAUCGUAAAACUCUGUUAUUAGGGAAGAACAUAUGUGUAAGUAACUGUGCACAUCUUGACGGUACCUAAUCAGAAAGCCACGGCUAACUACGUG